GAUAUAGCAUCGGUGGUCUCCUUCCUCCCCAUGCAUGGGACACUCACUACAACAUCGCCUGUAGCUGGGUUUUGCACCUCGAUCGUCUUCCCGUCGUACGCAUCGAUCCACUUCCCUCCGAUCAGUCCCUGCGUCUUCAACAGCCCUAGGUUCCUCAGCCGAUCCACGGCGGCCUGCGGGUCCGUGCUCAUCGCGCGAGUGAGGAAAUUAGUCGGAUGAGUUGAGCGGCGGCGGAGAUUGGGGGAGAGGAAGUGGUGGCGUAGGAGUGUGAUGCGGUAGAUCGCCAUUGGUAUUUGUGAAGGUCGGGAUUCGGAUGAUGAAGAUGAUGGUAG
Molecule: unclassified non-coding RNA, 332 nt
Filed under: Hevea brasiliensis (rubber tree)
Lineage: Eukaryota; Viridiplantae; Streptophyta; Magnoliopsida; Malpighiales; Euphorbiaceae
Source: RNAcentral